RNAcentral lists this ribosomal RNA (289 nucleotides) under uncultured bacterium. RNAcentral's name for it is "partial 16S ribosomal RNA". It matches the Rfam family "Bacterial small subunit ribosomal RNA", at positions 338 to 644 of the family's 1533-position model. The record is from RNAcentral.
CCUACGGGGGGCAGCAGUGGGGGAUAUUGCACAAUGGGGGGAACCCUGAUGCAGCGACGCCGCGUGGGCGAUGGAGCGCCUCGGCGCGUAAAGCCCUAUCAGCAGGGAAGAAGAUGACGGUACCUGACUAAGAAGCCCCGGCUAAAUACGUGCCAGCAGCCGCGGUAAUACGUAUGGGGCAAGCGUUAUCCGGAUUUACUGGGUGUAAAGGGGGCGCAGACGGCAAUGCAAGCCAGGAGUGAAAGCCCGGGGCCCAACCCCGGGACUGCUCUUGGCACUGCAUGGCUGG